AGCUGUUUGCUCGGUGUAGUGGUAGCAUACUUGCUUUGGGUCAAACCAGCAAUUUGCAAGUGGUCCCAGGUUCAAGCCCUGGCUCGGCCC
Molecule: non-coding RNA, 90 nt
Organism: Collariella sp. IMI 366227
Lineage: Eukaryota; Fungi; Ascomycota; Sordariomycetes; Sordariales; Chaetomiaceae
Source: the annotation of a GenBank genome assembly